ACGGGUGCGUAACGCGUGGGAAUCUGCCCUUGGGUUCGGAAUAACAGUUAGAAAUGACUGCUAAUACCGGAUGAUGUCUUCGGACCAAAGAUUUAUCGCCCAAGGAUGAGCCCGCGUAAGAUUAGCUAGUUGGUGGGGUAAUGGCCCACCAAGGCGACGAUCUUUAGCUGGUCUGAGAGGAUGAUCAGCCACACUGGGACUGAGACACGGCCCAGACUCCUACGGGAGGCAGCAGUGGGGAAUAUUGGACAAUGGGCGAAAGCCUGAUCCAGCAAUGCCGCGUGAGUGAUGAAGGCCUUAGGGUUGUAAAGCUCUUUUACCAGGGAUGAUAAUGACGGUACCUGGAGAAUAAGCUCCGGCUAACUCCGUGCCAGCAGCCGCGGUAAUACGGAGGGAGCUAGCGUUGUUCGGAAUUACUGGGCGUAAAGCGUACGUAGGCGGUUACUCAAGUCAGAGGUGAAAGCCCGGGGCUCAACCCCGGAACUGCCUUUGAAACUAGGUAGCUAGAGUCUUGGAGAGGUUAGUGGAAUUCCGAGUGUAGAGGUGAAAUUCGUAGA
This 557-nucleotide ribosomal RNA is filed under the name uncultured Novosphingobium sp. RNAcentral describes it as "bacterial SSU rRNA". It matches the Rfam family "Bacterial small subunit ribosomal RNA", at positions 102 to 694 of the family's 1533-position model. Lineage: Bacteria; Pseudomonadati; Pseudomonadota; Alphaproteobacteria; Sphingomonadales; Sphingomonadaceae. The record is from RNAcentral.